AAUAAAGUCUACAAGUUUCGUAGUGACCUGCGGAGGAUCAUUAAAAUGGUGUGGCCUUUAUUGUUGGUCACCAUUAAUAAUCUACCUUUGUGAAUUGUUUGUGUAAUAUUUUUUCCAAUGAAAAUUAUUGUCUAUCCCUGAAGAAUAGUUGUAAAGUUAUUUUUAGGAGCAGAUUUAAUAAUUUUUCAGUGAAAGACCUUUUUUUAAAUUAAACUUUGUAUUCAUUGUCUAAAUUGUAAAAAUAAUUAAAACAACUUUUGACAAUGGAUCUCUUGGUUCUCGCACGAUGACGAACGCAGCAAAAUGCGAUAAGUAAUGUGAUUGCAGAAUACGUGACAUCAAAUCUUCGAACGCAUAUGCACUUUUUUAGUUUACUAAAAGUAGUCUGUUUGAGUAUCAGUAAAUAUUCUCAUAAAAGCGUUGCGUUUUAUGGUUAGAGUGUUUUACAACGAUAACAAGUUGUUCACUUUAAAUUCAUUUUAAGCCGUUUUAAUGGUUUUAAAAUAAUUAAAUGGAUAAAAUUUCCCGUAAAAGGAGUAACUAUUUCAGUUUAGUUUUUUAAUCCAAGCCAAACAAAGAAUUUCAAAUACAAUCACUGAUCUCAAAUCAAUAAGAUACCGCUGAACUUAAGCAUAUAAUAAGCGGAGGAAAAGAAACUAACAAGGAUUCCUUAGUAACGGCGAGUGAACGGGAAGAGCUCAAUUGAAAUUUCAAGGUUCUACUUGACAAUUGUAGUUAAGAAGUGUUUCUGUUGCGGAGUGGCAAAGUCUUUGAAUAGACAUCAUAGAGGUGAGAUCCGUAUUUGGUCAUUCUUCUAGCUUGUGAUACACUUUCAAAGAGUCGGAUGUUUGGAAUGCAGUCCAAAUGGGUGGUAAAUUUCAUUAAAGCUAAUCUGGCGAAGACCGAUAGCGAACAAGUACCGUGAGGAAAGAUGAAAAGAACUUUGAAAGAGAGUUAAACAGUACGUGAAUUGUCAAAGGGAGCGUUGACCCAGUGUUGUUGUGGAGAAAUCAAUUGUGUGGAACGGGUUUGUGGGUUGAGACCUUAUCAGCUUCCUUACUCUUACCUUUUCACGCAAUGCACUUCUCUUUAACAAGUCAACAUCAAUUUCUUUUGUUGUAAAAGGUCAGCGGAAGUGGCUUCUUUCGGAAAGUGUUUAUAGCCGUUGAUCUCUACAAUCGGAGAGAUUGAGGUCUGCAGUGUAGAUCCUUCGGGUGGAUACGUCGGUGCUAAGUUAUAAUCCUAUAUAGACACUUGUGACUAUUCGAUCUUGUAGCUUACUCGCUGGCGCUAUUUACCUACGCUUAGGAUGU
This 1313-nucleotide unclassified non-coding RNA is filed under the name uncultured Neocallimastigales. Its description in RNAcentral is "partial contains internal transcribed spacer 1, 5.8S ribosomal RNA, internal transcribed spacer 2, and large subunit ribosomal RNA". The stretch from base 597 to 1313 matches the Rfam family "Eukaryotic large subunit ribosomal RNA", at positions 1 to 626 of the family's 3401-position model. The record is from RNAcentral. Lineage: Eukaryota; Fungi; Neocallimastigomycota; Neocallimastigomycetes; Neocallimastigales.